GCCCAGGUGGCGGAAUUGGUAGACGCGCACGGUUCAGGUCCGUGUGCCGCAAGGCGUGGAGGUUCGAGUCCUCUCCUGGGCA
Transfer RNA from Paracoccus halophilus, 82 nucleotides. It matches the Rfam family "tRNA". From Rfam's summary of the family: Transfer RNA (tRNA) molecules are approximately 80 nucleotides in length. Their secondary structure includes four short double-helical elements and three loops (D, anti-codon, and T loops). Further hydrogen bonds mediate the characteristic L-shaped molecular structure. tRNAs have two regions of fundamental functional importance: the anti-codon, which is responsible for specific mRNA codon recognition, and the 3' end, to which the tRNAs corresponding amino acid is attached (by aminoacyl-tRNA synthetases). tRNAs cope with the degeneracy of the genetic code in two manners: having more than one tRNA (with a specific anti-codon) for a particular amino acid; and 'wobble' base-pairing, i.e. permitting non-standard base-pairing at the 3rd anti-codon position. Lineage: Bacteria; Pseudomonadati; Pseudomonadota; Alphaproteobacteria; Rhodobacterales; Paracoccaceae. The record is from Rfam.